AGAGUUUGAUCAUGGCUCAGGAUUAACGCUAGCGGCAGGCCUAAUACAUGCAAGUCGAACGGGAUUUCGGUUAGCAAUAAUUGAAUGAGAGUGGCGCACGGGUGCGUAACACGUAUGCAACCUACCUAUAACUGGGGGGAUAGCCUCCCGAAAGGGAGAUUAACACCGCAUAACAUUAUGAAGUGGCAUCACUUUAUAAUUAAAUCUACGGAGGUUAUAGAUGGGCAUGCGUCCGAUUAGCUAGUUGGUGAGGUAAUGGCUCACCAAGGCUCCGAUCGGUAGGGGGUCUGAGAGGAUGAUCCCCCACACUGGUACUGAGACACGGACCAGACUCCUACGGGAGGCAGCAGUAAGGAAUAUUGGACAAUGGGCGCAAGCCUGAUCCAGCCAUGCCGCGUGAAGGAUGAAGGCCCUAUGGGUCGUAAACUUCUUUUAUACGGGAAAAAACCCCUCGAUGCGUUGAGGGUUGAUGGUACUGUAAGAAUAAGGGUCGGCUAACUUCGUGCCAGCAGCCGCGGUAAUACGAAGGACCCGAGCGUUAUCCGGAUUUAUUGGGUUUAAAGGGUGCGUAGGCGGAUUAGUAAGUCAGUGGUGAAAGCCCAUCGCUUAACGGUGGAAUUGCCAUUGAUACUGCUAGUCUUGAGUAUGGUUGAGGUGGGCGGAAUGUGUCUGUAGCGGUGAAAUGCUUAGAUAUGACCCAGAACACCAAUUGCGAAGGCAGCUCGCUAAGCCAUAACUGACGCUGAUGCACGAAAGCGUGGGGAGCAAACAGGAUUAGAUACCCUAGUAGUCC
Molecule: ribosomal RNA, 793 nt
Filed under: uncultured bacterium
Lineage: Bacteria
Description: bacterial SSU rRNA
Rfam family: Bacterial small subunit ribosomal RNA
Source: RNAcentral